RNAcentral lists this small RNA (34 nucleotides) under Plasmodium falciparum 3D7. RNAcentral's name for it is "Pfa-npcR6888". Lineage: Eukaryota; Apicomplexa; Aconoidasida; Haemosporida; Plasmodiidae. The record is from RNAcentral.
ACAAAGACUGUUUUACCUUUUGCGGGUGGUGCUA